GAUAUGACAUCAAAAACACAGGCAACAAAAGCAAGUGGAACUGCAUCAACCUAAAAAGCUUCUGCAUGGCAAAGGAAACGGCAGAAUGGACAGGCAGUCUACAAAAUGCGAGGAAAUGUUUGUGAACCAUGUAUUUGAUAAGGGGUUAAUCUCCAACAUAUGUAAAAAACUCAUACAACUCAGUAGCAAAAAAAAAAAAAAAAAGGGCCUAAAAAUAGGCCCUUUGCUGCCGUCCGUCAAUUUAUUUCUCCAGGAAGAAAAAUGGCAUCUGUUGCAGUUGAUCCACACCACCCAAGUGUCGUGACUUGGGUGGUCAACCUGCCCUUGGUGAGUUCCAUGUAUGACCCCAUGUCCUCAGCCCAUGUCAGUACAAAGGGCCAGUGUCCCUACUUGAAGUCUGUGUGUGAGAUGGCAAAGAAGGGCGUGAAGACCAUCACCUCGGUGGCCAUGUCCAUUGCUCUGCCCAUCAUCCGGAAGCUAGAGCUGCAGAUUGCAGUUUUGCCAAUAUCUAUGCCUGUAAGGAGCUAGACAGGAUUGAGGAAAGACUGCUUAUUCUGAAUCAGCCAUCAGCUCAGGUUGUUGCCAAUGCCAAAGGUGCUGUGACGACUACUGUAACUGGGGCCAAGGAUUCAUCACAGGGGUUAUGGACAGGACCAAAGGGGUAGUGACUGGCACUGUGGAGAAGACCAAGUCUGUGUCAGUAGCAGCAUUAACACAGGCUUGGGAAGUCAGAUGAUGCAGCUCGUGAGCAGUGGCAUAGAAAAUGCACCACCAAAUCAGAGCUCUUGGUAGGACAGUACCUCCCUCUCACUGAGGAAGAGCUAGAAAAAGAAGCAAAAAAAGUUGAAGGAUAUGAUACGGUUCAGAAGCCAAGUUGUUACGUUAGACUGGGAUCCCUGUCUACCAAGCUUUACUCUGUGUCUACCAAACUUCACUUCCUACCAGCAGGCUCUCAGCAGGGUUAAAGAAGCUAAGCAGAAAAGCCAAGAGACCAUUUCUCAGCUCCAUUCUACUGUUCACUUGAUUGAAAUUGCCAGAAAGAGUGUGCAUAGUGCCAAUCAGAAAAUUCAGGAUGCUCAUGAUAAGCUCUACCUCUCGGGUGGAGUGGAUAAGGAGUAUUGGAUACGAUGAUACUGAUGAGUCCCACUGUGCUGAGCACAUUGAGUCACAUCCUUUUGCUGUUGCCCACAACCUGACUUAGCAGCUCCAGACCACAUGCCAUACCCUUCUGCCCAACAUCAACGGAUUGCCACAGAACAUCUAAGGUCAGGCCAAGCACAUGGGGGUGAUGGCAGGUGACAUCUACUCAGUGUUCCACAAUACUGCCUCCUUUAAGGAAGUGUCUGACAGCCUCCUCGGAAUCUUUAAAUGACUUGAUGGGUUAUCUUGUUAAUGACAUGCCCCUCUACUGGCUGGUAGGUCCCUUUUACCCUCAGCUGACUGAGUCUCAGAAUGCUUAGGACCAAGGUGUGGAGAUGGACAAGAGCAGCUAGGAGGCUCAGUGAUCUGAGCACAAAACUAAUUAAACCUGCCCCUGUCACCAGCGCAUGAUGUGGCCAGCCAGUUAACACCUUUUGUUAUGUUGAAAUUAACCUGUAGGCAACCCUAAAUUGGGAAGCAAGUAGCUAGUAAAAAGGUCCUCAAUUAUAGUUAUUUCCAACUGGAUUAAGAGCUUUAAAGUUUCUGGCAUUAGCAGAUGAUUUCUGUUCACCUGGUAAGAAAAGAAUGCUAGGCUUGUUAGAGCCUAGCCAGAACUCACAAAAAAUUCGAGUGCACUUAUGUUCUCAUUCUGUGGCCAUUGUGUUACUCUCUGUUACCAUUUGUGUUGAACAAAAACAUCUUCAUGCGGGCUGGGUGUCUGCUCUGGUAUGAUUUGAGCAGGACUCUUUACUGAUUUAUCUCAUGAUUGCUUGUACAACUUGAUUUUAGUUUUUUAUUUCUCAAAUAGGAAUACUACCUUUGAAUUCAAUAUAAUUCACUGUAAGAUUUAACAACAAAAAGUGGACCAAGGACCUGAAUAGACAUUCUCCAAAGAAGACAUAAAAGUGGCCAAGUAUAUAUGAAAAAUUGCUCAACAUUGCUAAU
Molecule: RNA transcript, 2085 nt
Organism: Cercocebus atys (sooty mangabey)
Lineage: Eukaryota; Metazoa; Chordata; Mammalia; Primates; Cercopithecidae
Gene name: perilipin-2 pseudogene
Exons: 1
Source: RefSeq, a predicted model, not a curated record